UGGCAAUUCAAUGCACUGCAUGCAUGUG
RNAcentral lists this non-coding RNA (28 nucleotides) under Mus musculus (house mouse). The record is from RNAcentral. Lineage: Eukaryota; Metazoa; Chordata; Mammalia; Rodentia; Muridae.